UGCAGAAACUGAAUUUUCUUUUCUUCUUUUUCUUAUAUAUUUUAAUUAUCCUUCUUACAGAAUAAAAAUAUUCUAUAGAUUGUUAGAAACAAACUGCUUCAUUUACUUCAAAAAAAGUAUAUCCAGAUGGGAAUGUUUCUAUUUUCUUCCCUAUAAUUGACACUUUUGAUUACAUAUAGAUCAUUAUUCAAACUCUUCUGUCUGGGACCAUGCAGUGAAUUAGACACACACACACACACACUCUCUCUCCCCUCUCUCUCUCUCUCUCUCUCUCUCUCUCUGUCUUACUCACACACACACAGUUUUAAAUGUUGUAAUUGGUGAUUCAUUAAAUAUGCAGUUCCUCAUCAGAAAGUUACAAUAAUCAAUCUCUUAAUCUGCAAAGAUUUCUUUAUUUUUGAUUGAAUGUUUUUUUGUUUAAUUCUUAUCUCAUUUAUUGAAUAUAAAGUUCAAAACAACAGUUAGUAAGUUUCCUUAUUCUGCAAUUCCUAUUAACUUAUAUUUUAGUUUAUCUGUCCAUGUUACAAUUUUUUAUAUAUCUGGUUCCUUACAUUUAGUUUCUGAAUAUUAGGGAAAGGACUCUCAUGAUUUAGAUCUUAAUUGUUGUUUUUCAAAACUUCCAAGUUAUUUAGAAUCCGGAAUCAUUAUUUUUGCUGCUUUUCAUGAAAAGUCCUUAGGUACAAUAUAAAAUAAAGUUUUUCUUCAAAUUUUUCUCUUGAAAAAAAAAAAAACUUCUUUCAGAAACAAUCUCUCUCAAGCAAUUAUUUUUUUUUUAUGAUACUGGUAUUCAAAAACUAUAGAAUACUUUAAAUUACUGCUGUUAUAAGAAAAAAAUUACUGUUAUAUCAGUGGAAGAUGUAGCAAUUCUGCUCAUCUUUUGGCUGAUUUUAUUCUGAUUUGCAAGUGAGUUGCUUUUGGCUAUUACACAGGCUGUGUAUUUCUCUUCCUCUCUAAAGUACUUUACUUCUAUAGGAAAAUCGAAUCAACUGUUUCUAUUUGAAAAAGUAAAGUAAAGAAAAGAAAAAGAAACAAAUGGAUUCAGAUGUCCUAUUAGCUGUUCUCUUUCUCUCUCUCUUUCAAAGAUGUAUGCACCACUUCACAUACAUCUACAUACACACAUACACAUCAUAGUUAGAAAACAUCUAACAAGCCCUGCCAUAUGAAAUAACUGUGUGAACUGCCAAUUCCCUGCUGUUAAUAAUAUUAAUAUAACUGAUCGCAAAUGUCAUCAUUUAACAUUAUAUAAGAAAAGAUGAUUUUUUUUUUUCCCCUCCCCUUUUUAUUUUUCUUCUUUUUAAUCUAAAUUGAAUUGGGUACUGCUCUUGAAAGCAAGACAUCCCAGAAUCGUACAUGAGUAAGUACUCUUGAAUAUGACUUUUUGGUCAUGCUUUUAACACUAAUAAAACUAUUCCACUGAAACACUUUUUAUUCUUUCAUUUUUUUUCCUUUUCUUUAAUAGAUAUUUGUGUGGCAGCGUAGGCACCAGCAUGGCUGUGUGGUGAGAAGUUUGCUUCCCAACCACAUAGUUCCAGGUUCAGUCCCACUAUGUGACACCUUGAGCGGAUGACUUGUGAGUGAAUUUGGUCGAUGAAAACUGAAAGAAGCCCAUCAUGUGUGUCUGUGCUUCUUUGACAACCAAUGUUGGUGUGCUUACAUCCUUGUAAUAUAGAAGUUCAGCAUAAAAAGACUACUAGAAUAAGUACUAGGUUUAAGAAUAAGUGUCCUGGGUCAGUUUGGUUAAAACCCUUCAAGCAUGGUCAUGAAAAGCAAAACAGCAUACCUGAAGUAAGGAAACAGGACACAUUUUUGAUACUAUAUAUAUAUAUAUAUAUAUAUAAUUUUGCUUAUGCGUUGCAGAACUAAUAAUCUGGUGUAGAAUGACACAUUAGUUGAGUACACAGCAGUAAUAAGAAAAUGAGAUGACAAAGGAAUAAACAAUCAUCUUAUGAACUUCAUUAGCUUACAGCUGCUAUUCAAGGCUCUGAUGAAACUGUGAGGUGUUACUCAGGCACUCAACUAUGAGUCCACUACAUCUUAUAGCAGAAACAGCUGUAAGAUAAUCAUUCAUAUCAUUUAUUUCUUUGUCAUUCAUAUUUUUUAUAAAUAUAUAUAUAUAUAUAUAUAUAUAUAUAUAAUGUGUGUGUGUGUGUAGAUUUGCUGUUAAUGGUAAUUAUUUAACCUGAUUUAGUACAAGGUUAAUUUUCAUAUGAGUCUGGUACACAUAAUUGAAUUUCCCUGAGCUAUUACUGUAACUUAUAGAUGCAUAUUUCUCUUUCAAAUAGUGAAAGAAAAAUCAAACUCUGACAGGAUUCAAACUUGAGGCUUAAUUAAAUGUUCUGAGGCAUACAUUCACUAUGGCAACUAAGGAUUUUUUCUGGUCAAAAGUUAUGUAACUUAUUGAAUAUUUAUUCUUAACUUCAAAAAAAAGAAAUGACAUUUCUUUUAUCUUUUACUUGUUUCAGUCAUUGGACUGUGACCAUGCUGGGGUACCUUAUGAAAGGAUUUAGUCAAACAAAUCUACACCAGUACAUAUUUUUAAGUUUGGUACUUAUUCUGUCAAUCUCUUUAGCCAAGUUAUGGGGAUGCAAACAAACCAAUAUUGGUUGUCAAGUUUUGUGGGGGUCAAAUGCAGACACACAUAACAAACUUCCCUACAAUUUCCGUCUACCAGAUUCACUCACAAGGCAUUAGUUUACCUGGUGCUAUAGUGGAAGACACUUGACCAUGUGGUCACAAAGCAAGAAUCUUAACCAUGCAGCCAUGAAAAUCACAGCUUGAUUAACAUUCUAGUUUGCUUCAUUUGUUUUACAUUUGUUUUCUUUGCUAGUAUAUUUUGAACAGGUUCUUAUUUGAAGCUAUAUAUAUUUACUGCUAGGUGCUCUUCUUGUUGCCAACUUGUUCCUGAUUUACAGUUUAGGAAGCACAGAAAAAUGUUCACUGGAAAUGUAAACAUGCAACACUUUUUCUUUUACUUUGUUCUUCAUUCAGAUUACUUUAUUUAAAAAAUUACAUCUUUCACACAUAUACACACUUAUAUAGGCAUACAUAUGACAGACUUCAUAUGGUUUCCAUCCACUAGUUUCAUUCACAAGACAUUGCUUUGAGUGAGGCAAUAGUAGGAAACAUUGGUCCAAGGUGCCGUACAGUGAGACUGAACCUAAGAACACAUAGUUGCAAAGCAAACUUAACUGCCUAGUUAUACUGAGCUAUAUCCAUACAUGUUUUAUCUCUCUUUGAAGUUAGGGCCUUUUUUCAGCAACCCGAGAUUUUCUAACCACUCUUUUUACAAGAUGCCAAGCAAUAGUAGAUUAUUUAUUUAAAUAUAAACAAGAAUCUGCUUACACAUAGCUCAUAUGCCUAUGGUAUAAGAUUGAUAGUCCAUCAAUAAUACUUGAUGGAAUACUAACACAAUAUAGAUUAUGAAUAAAUAUAUGAGGCAGGGUUUGUGUUGUGAGUUACUUAGUGACCUCAGUGGUGCUGGCACCACAUAAAAAACGCUCAGUACACUCUGUUAAGUUGUUGGUGUUAGAAAUGAAAACAUUGGAGUAUGUUGUGGACCUUUGGCUCACCAGUUCCUGUCAAACCAUCCCAAGUAUGCCAGCUUGGUAAACCCAUUAAAUGGUUAUCAUUACAGGCGCGGGCAUGGUUGUAUGGUUUAGAAAUUUACCUCCCAACCAAAUGGUUUUCAGUUCAGUCUCACUUUGUGGCAUUUUGGACAAAUAACUUCUUUUAUAGCUUUGUGCCAACCAAACUUUUGUAAAUGGAUUUGGUAAACUGAAACUGAAAGUUUAUUCCAUAUUUGUUUUAACAUCAUAUGAUAGUUGGAAAUGAGUGUCACUAUCUCUCAGGUAAGAAUUGCUAACUGUUUCUAGACUUCCAUAAAAAACAUAUCCAGCCAUGGAGAAAUACUGCCUUGCUUUGAAAUAGGUGAAGGUUGGCCACAGGAAGGGCAUCCAGCCAUAGAAAAUUUACCUCAAUGAAUUUGAUCAGACCCAUACAAGCAUGGAAAGGUGAACAUUCAAACAAUGAUGGUGAUGAUUAUUUAUAUAUAUAGUGUUGCUAAAAUUAGGUUCUGUAGAUGUACCUUUUCAGCAACUUGGAAUAAGGAUUGAACUGACAGAAUUUGCUUGCUUAUCUCCCAAUUUAUUUACUUAUUGACAACCCAUAUUGUACUUGCACUCUUAAGGCCAGGCUGUCGUUCUCAUACCGUUCUGUAAAUGUGUUCUACAUUUUAAUAAGUAAUUUUCCAUUAGUUUUUCAGCAUCUUGAGGAGAAAUGAUAAUGUGAUGGAGUUUAACAACAAAACUUGUUCAAUCCUCAUUCAAAGCUACUGAAAAAAAAUCCUCAAUUAGAGCCUAAUUUUACAACUAGACUAAAAGGAAAUUCUUCUGUAUAUUCAAUUACUCAUAAACAUCUGUAUUCGUACUUCAGCAAUAUACAAUCUUUUUCAGAAAUUAGGCAAAAGAAAUUUGACAUAAACUUCAUGGACCAUCAAAUAUAGAGUUACUUUUUUAAUCUCACUAUGCAAAACAAGAACAAAACUUACCAUGGAGCACCAAAACUUUGAUGUAGCCCACCAGUCGUUCACUGGAAUCACGUUGUACUUAAAUGUUUCUGUAUAUUACUAGCAAGCUCACUUUCUGUGCUGUGUUAAGGAAAUAUGUAUGAAAUUCAUUUGCUUUUGGUUGAUCUGGAAAUGACUAAUGAAGAGAAAUCAAAAAAAAUUUGCAACACAUGGAUCUAAACAUGAGAUUCGGCAGAUGACUCUCAGAUGAUUGGCAGUGAAAAAGCAGCCUUUCACAAUAUUUUUCAGAAAAACUAAACCAUAAUACUUUGAUAACUGAAGGAAUAUGGAAAUGUCCUACUCAGAAGUAGAACUCUUGCAGCAAAUUUCAGAUGACUUGUAAGUCAAUACUUCAUAUAUCUCUGCUGGAGAGUAAGCACCACUGAAAUAACAGGAGUACCCUACUUUUAGUCGUUAACAAAGAAAUUCAUCUGCCCUAUUGAUAACCUGACUUUUGGUGGAAAACAUCAAUACCUAAUCCAUUGUUACGUUGUCCACCUUUUCCAUGGCAUUUUGCUCAUUAAAAUUUGCAGGUACUAUAACACCGAUUGGAACUCAUUACAUUUGAUCCUUCCCAAACGUAAUGAAUAUUAUAUUCUGAAAGAAUUACUCCAGAAAUUUUUCUUUUCUAACCUUUAUAACUAUCAACCAGACUGUGAUGUUAUUCACUGCCGGUUGUAAUGCACUUCGCUGCAUUGUAGCUUUCCAAUAUUGCCAACCUGCUGGCUAGAUGGGCAAGCUAACAUUAACGUUGAAUGGGAUGCCAGUUUAUCACAGGGUUAUCUGUUUGCAGCGGUGUUGACAGAAGCAACAUGAAAGGAACUGCUUUGUUCAAGAACUGCCUGUCUGGUAAUCGAAACCAUAAUCUUCUGAUCACGAGUGCAACACCCUAAUUACUAGGCUACAUGCCUUUACACCUUUUUACAAUAUUUCCAAGGCUGAAAUUAAUAUUGGUUUCAAAUUUUGGCACAAGGUCAGCAGUUUAGCGGGAGUGAGAAAGUCAAUUACCUUGACCCCUAGUACUCAACUGGUUCUUAUUUUAUUGACCCCCAAAAAAGAUGAAAGGCAAACUUGAACUCAGAAUGUAAAGAUGGACGAAAUGCCAUUUAGCAUUUCACCCUGCAUGCUAACAAUUCUGCCAGCUUGCCACCUUAAAGUAUAUAUUAAUAAUACUAAUCACAGUAAGGUGGGAGCUGGUAGAAUCAUUAGAAUGCUUAGCAGCAUUUCAUCUGCAAAUUUGAUUAUGCUGAGAUUGAUAUUGCCUUUCAUCCUUUCAAAGUUGAUAAAAUAAAUACCAGUAAGAAAUGGGAUCAAUGAAAUCGACUUCUUUCCCAUCAACACCACCACCACCACCACCACACCACCAAAUUUCUGGCCUUGUGCCAAAAUUUGAAAUUAAUAUUAAAAAUCACAGUGAAUUAGAUUGACUUUAAAAGCGAAUUUUCACAUCUACAAUGCUGCUUAUUAGGUGUCUAUGAAUUUGGGAAACUCCAUCUGAUAAUCAGCAUAGCAUUCAACUGCUAUGCAAAAAAAACUUCACAUUCAUUACCUGUAGCUUAUGCUGUGUUGUGUCUAUAUCCAUGAAACUUGUAUAUCUUUACUGGCCUGAUCUAUCUAGGUAUCAUUGGGUGACAAGCUUGCAACUGCAGGCAGCAUCUAACCUGUGUGACUUAUUAUUUUGUUCAAAUUAAUAGUAUGUUCCUGUCAAGCUGACUUGCUUUUGUUUGAUAAUACAGGCAAAAACCUUCAAGUUAGUAGUUAAGAUACAUUCACACUGAAUUUUAUUUUUUUAUUCAACAAGUGUGGCUGUGUCGUAAGAACCUUGCUUCCCAACCUCAUGAUUCCAGGGUCAGUCUCAUAGUGUGGCUCCUUGAGCAAGUGUCUUCUACUAUAGCCUCGGGCUGACCAAAGUCUUGAGUGGAUUUGGUUGAUGGAAACUGAAAAGCUAUCAUUUGACAACCAGUGUUGGUGUGUUUAUGUUCCCAUAACUUAAUGGUUCAACAAAAGUGACCAAUAGAAUAAGUACCAGGCUUUAAAAAAAAAGGCAAAAUGUACUGGGGUCAAUUCAUUCAACUAAAUGUAUUCUUCAAGAUGGAGCCCCAGCAUGGCCACAAUCUAAUGACUGAAACAAGUUGAAGAUAGAACAUUUAGACAAGACUCAGAGUAAACAAAAAUCAGGUGUAACUGAAGAAAUGUGAUGUUAAUUGUUACCUGUUUUAAAAAAGAAUGUCUGACAUGGGGAUAAAUGUUGUUCAACUUUGUGUGUCUAACCUAAGUUAAGUUAUUUCAAAAAAAGUUGCAGAUAUAAUUUUUUUAAUAUUUUUUUGAAGGCAGGGUGGUGAAUUGGCAGAAUCAUUAGCAUAACAGUUAAAAUGUGUCGAGGCAUUUUGUCUGCCUUUAUGUUCUGAGUUCAAAUUCCACCAAGGUCAUCUUUGCCUUUCAUCCUUUUAAGGUUGAUAAAAUAAAUACCAUCUAAGCUUUGGGAUCGAUGUAAUCAACUUACCCCUCCAUAGAAAUUGUUGGGCUUGUGCCAAAAUUUUAAAUCAAUGUUUAUUUUAAGGCGGCAAACUGACAGAAUCGUUAGCACACUGGGCAAAAGACUUAAUGGUAUUUUACCAGUCCUAACAUUCUGAUUUUAAAUUCCACUCAGGUCAUCUUUGCCUUUCAUUCUUUUGCGGGGUUGAUGAAAUAAGUACUAGUUGAACUCUGGAGGCUGAUGCAAUCAACUUACCCCCUACCCUGAAAGUGCAACCCUUGUGACAAAAUUUGAAACCAGUAUUUUGUUAUAUUAACCCUUUUGUUACCAUAUUUCAGAUAAGAUGCUCUGUGUUUAUUUCAUUUAAUUCUAAAUAUAACAAAGAAUUUAGUAAAAUAACUUUGUUAAUUAUUAAGCUAGUGUUUGGAACAUAAAUUAAGACUAAGCUCUGGUGGAAGAUUUAAAUUCAGAACUUUUGAAAACAAGACAUUUGUACUACAGAGCUGGAGUGUGUGGGGGGGUGCAAUCUGAGGAAGGUUGGUAUCAAAAGGGUUAACUGAUUUCUUUCAAUACAUUUAGUAUGCUGUCACUUUUGCAAGUCAAUAGAAUGAUGAACAACCAGCUUAGAAGUUAGUGGACUAGGUUCACACAUACUGCUUUGUGUCUGUGGUUAUGCAGUACUUGACUCUCAGAUAACACAGUCCACCUAGCUACAAUGUGGUACCACACUAUCCAGUAGGAACAACUCCCAAUUGCUAUUACUACUUAAAUGCUUUGCUUCCUAUGGAGCAUAAGCCAUCAACAACUUUUCUCUGCUAUCUUCAGCUCUGAGAAGUCAUUUCUGCUUCUUUCCAGUUGGAUCCCUGCUUUUCCAGCCUCCCUUGUGGGUUCCAUCUCCACUUGCACUUCAAACAUUUAUUUCUUCCAGGUUUUGUAGGUUUUGAACUGUCAUUGAUGCUUCUGUAACUUUGCUUUUUCUGUUUCUAGUUGUUGUCCCCACUCACUUUUACCUUUGGGAAGAGGUGGUACAUAAUUAAUCUGGCCUCUCUCCUUUGACUUGACCAAUAUAGGAGGCUCUACCAGAAACUUAUGCUUUGCUGGCAGGGUCAUAGGGGCACACAAGCUACUGCACUACAAGGGAGUUAACUCUGUUAUAACCCAAAUGUACAUAACGCUGUAUAAUUGUGUAUUUAGUUUGCAAUACUAAUUUCAGUUUGGUAAGAAUACUUCACCACUCACCAUACAAAUUUUCUACUGGCACACUAAAAUAAGAUGUCUUCGGCAGUACUCCUACAAUACUCAUAAUUUUGAAAUAACUAUCAUUUGCAAUUUAGAUGUAGAAAAUUUUGAGUUAAAUAUAUACGAUGACCAAGGAUAUAAAAGCAGCAAAAAUUAGGAUCUUUUUCUAAUACUAUUGAAUAUUUUUAGUAGAAACUCAUAAGGAAAUGAGAAUAAUGGUUGAAUACAAUGUUUUUCUUUCUCCAGCAGCCGAGUCACACUUUUCUUUUGUGAACAUCUGAAAUUCUUCAUUUAAAAAUAUCCUUCUUAAUUAAUAAGUCUAUUUGCCUUAUUUUCAAUCACCAAAGCUUCCAUCAAGCUCUUGUGAUGCUAUGUGAUUUUUUUUUGCCAACCACACCAUAUUUCUCCAAUAAUUGAUUCAAAAGCAAUGUGUUAAACUGCCAAACACCAAACCUUUGUCUUGGUUUCAAUUUUCAUUUCAUGAGAAAUAACCCACAUCUCUAAUAGAAUAUACAGUUCCAUGCAAUAUUUUCUGAAUGAGAGAAAACAAUGUGAGAUGACCACCAAAAAUGGCUGUACAAAAGUUUUCAGCCACCUCACAUAAACCCAUCAAGAUACAAUGUUUUAAAACAGAAUAAUGUCUAUAAUGAAAAUUUACUACAUACUGUUCAUUUCAAGUUACUGUACAUUAUUAAUAUUUCGUGUGGCUUCCCUUACCUUGAAUAAUUGCUUUGAUGUACCAGGGAAAGAUGUGUACAAAUCGUUCACCAUCUUCACAGGUAUGAGAUACCAUUCUCUGUAGCUGAGCUUCCACAACUCUUCAAGAUUGUGUGGAUUCUUCUGACGAACUCUUCUCUUUAGUUCUGUCCACAUUUGCUCGAUGAUAUUUAAGUUAGGGCUCUGAGCUGGCCAAUCUUUCAAUAUGGUAACACCUUCAUCAGCCAGACUCUGUUGUGUUGCACACAAUCUUUGGCAUGGAGCUCCGUCAUGCUGAAAAAUCUCACCUUCAUCCAAGUCUGGCAUCAAAUUGUCCUUCAGCAACUGGAUGUAUUUGGCACUAUUCAAGUUACCAUCAAUUUUAACCAACUUUCUUGAACCAUUACUUUUUAUGUAUCCCCAAAGCAUUAGACUUUUACCCUCAAACAUCACAUUACUGUUUUCAUCAUGUAAUGUGGGUCAUUUUGCUUUCCUGGAGGCCUUCUGACAAAUUCUCGCUUAUUAGAAAUAUUAACAAUGUACAGUAACUUCUUGAAAUGAACAUUAUGUAUUAAAUUUUCAUUAUAGAUAUUUUACUGUUUUAAAACAUUGUAUCUCAGUUGGUUUAUGUGAGGUGGCUGAAAACUUUAGCUCAGCCAUUUUUUGGUGGUCAUCUCACAUCUUUCCUUCUAAUUCAGAGCCCCUACUGCAAAAUAUAAUGAUUAGGUAUGGAAAUGGCUCCAACAGGGCUAAUGUUUCAUCUGUAAAAAAUGCAAUGCGAAACAUCCACUCAUAAGUUGGCAGUUAGUAGAAAUUUACAAUAGUUUAAAGUGGCGAAAGACUUUUGCAUGGUACUAUACUCCAAUUCUAGAUAAAUAUUGUUUUGCUCUGGGGAAAAACAGAGACAUCAGGUUCCUGUUUGUCUUCUGUAAAAGUUUAAUGAGUUCCUAUACAUAAUUUUUAUUUCUCAAAUAGUACCUAAUUUAUAUUAAUUUCACUAUAGACUACACUAUAAUUAAUACAGUACCUCAUAAAAUUAUAAGGUUUUAUUUUUAUACCUUAGUAAGUUCUGGUUGAGUGAUGUCAUUUGUAAAUUAUACCUGUGGCAGCCAGGUUACCAACUGUUUACCUAAAAAUUUUCCAUUCAAAUAUUUUUCUCUGAGUUAUAAGUUGUGUGUGUGUGUGUGUACCUGUUAACCUUUUAGCAUUCAGAUUACUCUGUCAAAUAUAAUACUUAUUUAAUCUCAUUGUUUUGAAUUACUCUCACAUUAUCUCAUAGCUUUGACGUUUCAAUGAUGUGAUUGCUUAAUUUUAGAAUGAUAUUGCAAGGUAGGUGUGAAAGGCCAGAUCUGGCCAAUUUGGAUAUAUAGAACAGGUUGACUAUUUUGGCUGGAUAUGGCUAUUUUAAAUGCUAAAUGCUUAAGGCAACCAACAUAUUCAUUCUACUCAUUGCAUUCUUCUAGUCUUUGCCUAAAUAAAUAAGAGAAUAUAAAGUAAGCACCAUCACUUUUUAUUGAACUCAUUAUAGGCUAAAAUAUUAAGAUGUGAAAACUGAUUUAUUUGUGUUUUUUUCAGCUCUAGGGUAAGGAAGAAGUUUGAUGUAUAAAAGGUCUGUGUAUAAAUUAUUUAAAUAGUAAUGAUUUCCAUAAUUCUGCAUCAACUGCCAGAUACUCAAAAUGUAAAGAAUUCAUAUCUACUCCUAUAUGUCCAACAUUAAAUUGUUGUUCCAUGCUACAAUACUAGGGUAUAACUUCAAUUCAUAAUUCAUGAAAUAUAUAGGUGUUAGGAAGGGUAUCCAGCCAUAGAAACCAUGCCAAAUCAGACUGGAACUUGGUGCAGCUCUCCCACUUGCCAGUUCCAAUCAAAUUGUUUAACACAUGCCAGCAUAGAAAACAGAUACUAAAUGAUGAUGGUGAUAUAUAUAUAUAUAUUAUUCUUUAACAAGAAUAGUAAUGACAGUGACUUUGAAGUUCAGCCUGCUAAGAUAUUGUCAGACUGUGACAUUUGACAAUGGCUUAUCAGGCAAAAACUUUGAAGUCACUGUCAUUACCAUACUUGUUAAAGAAUAAUAAAUAUAUUCUGUGCACAAAGUAUUGAACAAUCCUUCAGUUUUAUGUAAAAUUGUUUUGUAUUAUAACUUGACAUAAAAACAAACAUUAAUAUAAUAUAUUAACCAAUCAUUAUUGCUAUAUAUGUAGCUGAAAACUAAGAUGUCAUCUGCAGGUAACAUGUUUGGAGAGAAAGUUAUCCAAUUUUCAUCAAAUUUUUGUCUAAAUGCAUGCUGUUCAUUUGGUGAAAAAUCUUUAUUUUAUUUAAUAAUCAUGGCUGAGCAUGGUUUAUUGAUUAAAUAACAAAGUGGCUGAAAUACAUUGCAGAAAUAGUGAAAUUCCCAACUAGACCAAUGAUUCUCAACCAUUUUUUAACUAUGGACCCUUCAAUUGCAAUUUUAUUUUGGUGGGCCCCCAUAGCUAUUCAGUGUCUAAAAGCUAGUUUUAUAGAUACUUCUUUCAAAAUUCCUAUUUGUUUUUCUCAUAUUCACUUGUAUAGGUUUCGCAAUAGUACUCUCUGAGAGAACAUGUUUCAGUUGCCAGAAACAUGUUAAACUAUGUUAAACAUUAGAAAAAGAAAUCUAGCUGUUUCUUACAAUAAACACAUCUAAAGGAAAAGUUGUUGCUUUUCUUUUUUAUGAUCCCUUAAAAUACUACUGUGGAUCCCCAGUUUACUACUUUUCUUACAUGGACCACAAAAAUUCUCAUAUGGAUCCCUAUUAAGAACCACUGACCUAGACUUGACAAUGUUGAGAAUUAUUUUUCACGAUGUUGUUCAUGGUGUUUAUGCAACCACCUGAUGAAUCAUUACCUCGGCCCAUAGUGAAUACAAUUUGUGUAAUUAAGAUUGGAAAUCCUCUAAGUUCCUUGUGGAGCAUAGGGCCAGUUUCUCAGUUUCCAUGGCGUAUGUGUUCCCUCCCUAGUUGGACAGGACGCCAGUCCAUCACAGCUUUUUACUCAAGAAACAGGAAGAAAGAGUGAGAGAAAGUUGGGGCGAAGGAGUACAACAGGGGUCGCCGCCACCCCCUGCUGGAGCCUCGUAGAGCUUUAGGUGUUUUUACUCAAUAAACACACAGAACGCCCGGUCUGGGAAUCGAAAUCACGAUCCUCCGACCGUGAGUCCGCUGCCCUAACCACUGGGCCAUUGCGCCUCCACGUAUAAUUAAGAUAACAUAAAUUAAUUUCUUUGGGUUACACAUCUUUUUGCUGAAAGCUUAAAGAAAAAAAUUAGGAUAAUAUAUAUAUUAUAGGCAUAGGAGUGGCUGUGUGGUAAGUAGCCUGCUUACCAACCACAUGGUCUCGGGUUCAGUCCCAUUGUGUGGCAUCUUGGGCAAGUGUCUUCUACUAUAGCCUCGAGCCAACCAAAGCCUUGUGAGUGGAUUUGGUAGACAGAAACUGAAAGAAGCCCGUCAUAUAUAUAGGUAUAUAUAUGUGUGUGUGUGUAUGUGUUUGUCCCCCCAACAUUGCUUGACAACCGAUGCUGGUGUAUCUAUGUCCCCGUAACUUAGCGGUUCAGCAAAAGAGACCGAUUGAAUAAGUACUAGGCUUCUAAAGAAUAAGUCCUGGGGUUGAUUUGCUCAACUAAAGGCGGUGCUCCAGCAAAAAAAGACUGAAACAAGUAAAAGAGUAUAUAUAUAUAUAUAUAUAUAUAUAUAUAUAUAUAUAUACUUU
Octopus bimaculoides (California two-spot octopus) is the source of this 12694-nucleotide long non-coding RNA. NCBI's taxonomy places the organism in Eukaryota, Metazoa, Mollusca, Cephalopoda, Octopoda, Octopodidae. The record is from RefSeq and is a predicted model, not a curated record.